GGGUAGUUUGACUGGGGCGGUCUCCUCCCAAAGAGUAACGGAGGAGCACGAAGGUUAGCUAAUCACGGUCGGACAUCGUGAGGUUAGUGCAAAGGCAUAAGCUAGCUUGACUGCGAGAGUGACGGCUCGAGCAGGUACGAAAGUAGGUCUUAGUGAUCCGGUGGUUCUGAAUGGAAGGGCCAUCGCUCAACGGAUAAAAGGUACUCCGGGGAUAACAGGCUGAUACCGCCCAAGAGUUCAUAUCGACGGCGGUGUUUGGCACCUCGAUGUCGGCUCAUCACAUCCUGGGGCUGAAGUAGGUCCCAAGGGUAUGGCUGUUCGCCAUUUAAAGUGGUACGCGAGCUGGGUUUAGAACGUCGUGAGACAGUUCGGUCCCUAUCUGCCGUGGGCGUUGGAAGAUUGAGAGGGGUUGCUCCUAGUACGAGAGGACCGGAGUGAACGCACCACUGGUGUUCGGGUUGUCAUGCCAAUGGCAUUGCCCGGUAGCUAAGUGCGGAAAAGAUAAGCGCUGAAAGCAUCUAAGCGCGAAACUUGCCUCAAGAUGAGUCUUCCCUGGGCCUUUAAGGCCCCUGAAGGAACGUUUAAGACUAAGACGUUGAUAGGCUGGGUGUGUAAGUGCAGCGAUGCAUUGAGCUAACCAGUACUAAUGAUCCGUGAGGCUUAACCUU
This 668-nucleotide ribosomal RNA is filed under the name Serratia marcescens. Its description in RNAcentral is "partial 23S ribosomal RNA". It matches the Rfam family "Bacterial large subunit ribosomal RNA", at positions 2263 to 2925 of the family's 2925-position model. Lineage: Bacteria; Pseudomonadati; Pseudomonadota; Gammaproteobacteria; Enterobacterales; Yersiniaceae. The record is from RNAcentral.